CUCCUGGAACUGACUGCUGCCCUC
RNAcentral lists this non-coding RNA (24 nucleotides) under Arabidopsis thaliana (thale cress). Lineage: Eukaryota; Viridiplantae; Streptophyta; Magnoliopsida; Brassicales; Brassicaceae. The record is from RNAcentral.